RNAcentral lists this ribosomal RNA (235 nucleotides) under uncultured Actinomycetales bacterium. RNAcentral's name for it is "partial 16S ribosomal RNA". It matches the Rfam family "Bacterial small subunit ribosomal RNA", at positions 96 to 334 of the family's 1533-position model. The record is from RNAcentral. Lineage: Bacteria; Bacillati; Actinomycetota; Actinomycetes; Actinomycetales.
UGGCGAACGGGUGAGUAACACGUGGGUGAUCUGCCCUGUACUUUGGGAUAAGCCUGGGAAACUGGGUCUAAUACCGAAUAUGACCACUUCUUGGAUGGGGUGGUGGAAAGCUUUUGCGGUAUGGGAUGAGCUCGCGGCCUAUCAGCUUGUUGGUGGGGUAAUGGCCUACCAAGGCGUCGACGGGUAGCCGGCCUGAGAGGGUGUACGGCCACAUUGGGACUGAGAUACGGCCCAG